GGAAUCUUCGGCAAUGGACGGAAGUCUGACCGAGCAACGCCGCGUGAGUGAAGAAGGUUUUCGGAUCGUAAAGCUCUGUUGUAAGAGAAGAACGAGUGUGAGAGUGGAAAGUUCACACUGUGACGGUAUCUUACCAGAAAGGGACGGCUAACUACGUGCCAGCAGCCGCGGUAAUACGUAGGUCCCGAGCGUUGUCCGGAUUUAUUGGGCGUAAAGCGAGCGCAGGCGGUUAGAUAAGUCUGAAGUUAAAGGCUGUGGCUUAACCAUAGUACGCUUUGGAAACUGUUUAACUUGAGUGCAAGAGGGGAGAGUGGAAUUCCAUGUGUAGCGGUGAAAUGCGUAGAUAUAUGGAGGAACACCAGUGGCGAAGGCGACUCUCUGGUCUGUAACUGACGCUGAGGCUCGAAAGCCAGGGGAGCGAACGG
RNAcentral lists this ribosomal RNA (425 nucleotides) under Shewanella sp. 4t3-1-2LB. RNAcentral describes it as "bacterial SSU rRNA". It matches the Rfam family "Bacterial small subunit ribosomal RNA", at positions 358 to 775 of the family's 1533-position model. Lineage: Bacteria; Pseudomonadati; Pseudomonadota; Gammaproteobacteria; Alteromonadales; Shewanellaceae. The record is from RNAcentral.